UCAGGUGCAGUUUUUCUUAUGUGAUGAUGCUUAUGCAACUGAUGCGUAACACGACCAAUUAGAAGCUGUCUCUGAGCCAACAACACAGGCAGAAGACUGGAACUAUGACCAUUUGCCAACCUACUCUCCACAUAUACAAUAUGAGGGGAAUGAAAGUUGGAACUCUGCUGGAAGUAUGGAAUGACACAUCCUAAAAAUAGAAGUGCAACAGGUUCCCCUGCCAUUAUGCCUUCAAAAAAAGUUUCAGAGUUUGGACUGAAUUUGCCUAGUUAUAAUGAGCAGUUG
Molecule: non-coding RNA, 285 nt
Organism: Taeniopygia guttata (zebra finch)
Lineage: Eukaryota; Metazoa; Chordata; Aves; Passeriformes; Estrildidae
Source: RefSeq, a predicted model, not a curated record